This 465-nucleotide ribosomal RNA is filed under the name Vreelandella stevensii. Its description in RNAcentral is "partial 16S ribosomal RNA". It matches the Rfam family "Bacterial small subunit ribosomal RNA", at positions 338 to 795 of the family's 1533-position model. The record is from RNAcentral. Lineage: Bacteria; Pseudomonadati; Pseudomonadota; Gammaproteobacteria; Oceanospirillales; Halomonadaceae.
CCUACGGGGGGCAGCAGUGGGGAAUAUUGGACAAUGGGGGGAACCCUGAUCCAGCCAUGCCGCGUGUGUGAAGAAGGCCCUCGGGUUGUAAAGCACUUUCAGCGAGGAAGAACGCCUGGUGGUUAAUACCCAGCAGGAAAGACAUCACUCACAGAAGAAGCACCGGCUAACUCCGUGCCAGCAGCCGCGGUAAUACGGAGGGUGCGAGCGUUAAUCGGAAUUACUGGGCGUAAAGCGCGCGUAGGUGGCUUGAUAAGCCGGUUGUGAAAGCCCCGGGCUCAACCUGGGAACGGCAUCCGGAACUGUCAAGCUAGAGUGCCGGAGAGGAAGGUAGAAUUCCCGGUGUAGCGGUGAAAUGCGUAGAGAUCGGGAGGAAUACCAGUGGCGAAGGCGGCCUUCUGGACUGACACUGACGCUGAGGUGCGAAAGCGUGGGUAGCAAACAGGAUUAGAUACCCUUGUAGUC